AUCUCUAAGAUUUUAUAGCAUAGUUAUUACAUCCGACCGUGCACUAUGCUUGAAAUGUGUUAAUGUGCACAAGCUAUUCAAGAUUUUAGCUUUUGUUUUUUUGAAAAAAAAAAUGAUCUAAAAAAAAAAGAUAGAACUAACACGAAAAAAAUAAUCUUUAGACCUGAUUUUUUAUUUAAUUUAAAUUUAAAUUUAAAUUAUAUAAAAACUGUUCUAGUAUAAUUUAGCUUCCUCCAUUUAAAAGGAACUGUAAUUAUUAUUAAAAAAAUCAAAAGAUAAAUUUUUUUUAAAAAAAGAAUGAGAAAAAAGAGGGAAGGGGCUGAAUUGAAAAAAUAAAUAGAAGAGGAGCUUCUUGGUAACCUACUGUCUUACUGUAGAAAAACAAGGGGUCUCCUUGAGACUUGAGAGCGAUGGUCAUCGAAGACAAAGAGCUCUAAAUUCAAAGAAAUAUGGGUAUGGUAAGUAAUCUAUGUCUUGUUGCUAGUGUUUAUUUGUCAACGACAUCGUAAUAACACUCACCAUUCUCUCCUGCUCUCUACCAUCGCUUCUAUCGACUCCUAGCUACGCGCCUUUUACAUGUUUGUUAUAAGUUCCCAGAGAAGCCCAGAUGCGUGAAGAAUGAGAACUUACAUAAUCAAAUCUCUUUUCAAACACCCGUUUACCUUCUCUAUCACAAUCCGAUCGAAAACAACGUCAGCCCAGUACGUAGCAUCGAGAGCUAGAGAUGCUACAUUUGAGAAGCUAAUGGACAAGUAUAAAAACUUUGUCAAGGUCAUUGCCAUUCAAGAUUUGAUUCUCUCAAACCCUAACAAAACCCCUCCAUGCAUUUCACUUGAUUUCCUUUCAAAACUUUCCCAGAAGCUCCAUCUUAACCGCGGCGCACCUUCGUUUCUCAGAAAGUACACUCACAUUUUCCACAUUUUCUAUGACCCCGCGAAAUCCCAGGCUUUUUGCAGACUAACUGAUACUGCUCUUGAAAUUUCUCGCAAAGAAGAAGAAGCUGUCAAUGCCUCAUUGCCUCUUGUUGUUGACCGAUUGGUUCGGCUUUUGUUUAUGUCAACGUCCAAAUCACUGCCACUUCGUGCCGUUUUUAAAGUUUGGAGGGAGCUGGGCCUUCCUGAUGACUUUGAGGAUUCGGUGAUAGUGAAAAACCCGAACCUUUUUAGACUUUGUGAUGGAAAUGAACCCCGUACACAUGUUUUGAAGCUGGUUGGUGAAUUUCCUGAUAAUCAUUUUACGGCAGCGGUUGAAAAUUGGAGGGUUACGGAGUGUUGUAGGGAGGACUGUAGUGUUGAUAGAAUGGACAUACGGUAUAGUUUUAAACAUGUGUAUCCGCCAGGAAUGAGGUUGAGCAAGACUUUCAGGGCGAAAGUUAAAGAAUGGCAGAGCUUGCCUUAUUUAGGACCCUAUGAGGACUUGAUGGAGAAGAAGAAGAAGAAGACUAAGGCAGGACUUAAGGGAUUGGAGAAACGGGCAGUUGCUAUUGUGCAUGAAUUCUUGAGCUUGACAGUGGAGAAAAUGGUGGAAGUGGAGAAGAUCAGUCAUUUCAGGAAUUGUUUCGGGAUUGAUAUGAACAUAAGGGAUUUGUUCUUGGAUCAUCCAGGCAUGUUUUAUUUGUCUACUAAGGGGAAGAGACAUACUGUUUUCUUAAGAGAAGCGUAUGAGAGGGGUCGUUUGAUAGAUCCUAAUCGAGUUUAUGAUGUUAGGAGAAAGCUUCUUGAUCUUGUUUUUCUGGGGCGCCAUGAUAUGCUGACUAGUAAAUCAAGGUCCGUGGAGAUUGACAAGAGCGAGGAGUCUGGAUCAGAAAAUGAGAAUGUUGACUGAAUUAACAAAUUUUCAGUUGUGUAAGCUUUUGUUUACACAUAGCAUGGUCCAGUCACAUAGAUUUGACGUUUUGUGGUGUAUAAUUGAAGAUUUCCAAAGUGGGGGGAGAUGAUCAUUUGAACAGUUUUUACUGGGUACUAGUUCCUCAUCCCUCUUUCCCUUUCUGAUUCUGUCUGGGUCUUUGUCGUUGGACUUGGUUGUUUAUUGAAUAUGCAAUUGUUUAGAAGAUUGCAAUUUGUAUGUAUGUGCAUCAAUAUCAAACACAUAUUAUCACUCCAACAUGCCUGACUACUAUUUUGUUUGCUAUAUCUUCACUUAAUUCAAUUCAGUUUUGUUAGAUUUUGUUCCGAAGUUGGUAGAAGCAGCGAUGUUCUUGGGCCAUUUGAGAAUAAGGUGUAUCAUGGCACCACAUAUAAGAUAGCAUGAUUCACAGCAGAUUGCACAGGCUGACAAAUUGCGCAGCGAAAUAUCAUUGAGCAGGCUCAAGCUAACCAGCUUCGAGCUAUCCAACUUGUCAUGAGUGAUGCUCUCAAACCAUUCUCCAGGAGGGCUAGGCUAACCUACUUCAAACCCACUUGUUAAAGAUAAGUUUUUAAGAUACUCAUAAACUAAAGGUGGAACCAAAAGGCUUGAACAAGAGGACUGCGGAACUUGAAGAAGGGUCCCUGGCACUAUAGGCCGGAUAAGUGAAGACAUGGCACCUGUCAUGUUUUGGGAUGGAGCUUCAUGCUGUCAAGGUUGUGCCACUGUUCUUCAACAACUUCGCUCAGAGAGCGAUGAUUUAGAGGAGUUUACAGGUUGAGAUUCGAGAGCAGUAAGCAUUUAUGCAUGUGCAAAGACUGUGAAGGCUUAGCUUAGUUUCUGUACCCUGUUAAGUCCUGAAAGUCUGUUGAUAUAGAAGCUUCUGUUAUAUUGGGAAACAUCCACUAAUGCAGAUGUUUCUAGUCAAGACAUCUAAGAUUUGUUGCAGAAGAAUUGGGAUGCCUUUGUUAAAUGCUUGUGUCUCUUUUGUUUAUUGUCUCGCUAUAUAAAAGAUGAAGACAAUGAAUGGAAGUAGAGAGAUGUUGAUGUUUCUCUGUAUUUAGUAUAAAAAUUAACUAAAAUUAUAUUGAUUGAUUUAUUAAAAGCACUUGAGUUUUUCUGUUUGA
RNA transcript from Populus nigra (black poplar), 2972 nucleotides. It is a transcript of the gene named protein ROOT PRIMORDIUM DEFECTIVE 1, with no coding region annotated. NCBI's taxonomy places the organism in Eukaryota, Viridiplantae, Streptophyta, Magnoliopsida, Malpighiales, Salicaceae. The record is from RefSeq and is a predicted model, not a curated record. The transcript is spliced from 2 exons.